Molecule: ribosomal RNA, 729 nt
Filed under: uncultured bacterium
Lineage: Bacteria
Description: bacterial SSU rRNA
Rfam family: Bacterial small subunit ribosomal RNA
Source: RNAcentral
AGAGUUUGAUCCUGGCUCAGAUUGAACGCUGGCGUCAUGCUUUACACAUGCAAGUCGAACGGCAGCGCGGGGCAACCUGGCGGCGAGUGGCGAACGGGUGAGUAAUACAUCGGAACGUACCCAGAAGUGGGGGAUAACGUAGCGAAAGUUACGCUAAUACCGCAUACGUUCUACGGAAGAAAGUGGGGGAUCUUCGGACCUCAUGCUUUUGGAGCGGCCGAUGUCUGAUUAGCUAGUUGGUAGGGUGAAGGCCUACCAAGGCGACGAUCAGUAGCUGGUCUGAGAGGACGACCAGCCACACUGGGACUGAGACACGGCCCAGACUCCUACGGGAGGCAGCAGUGGGGAAUUUUGGACAAUGGGCGCAAGCCUGAUCCAGCAAUGCCGCGUGAGUGAAGAAGGCCUUCGGGUUGUAAAGCUCUUUUGUCAGGGAAGAAACGGCUGAGGUUAAUACCUUCGGCUAAUGACGGUACCUGAAGAAUAAGCACCGGCUAACUACGUGCCAGCAGCCGCGGUAAUACGUAGGGUGCAAGCGUUAAUCGGAAUUACUGGGCGUAAAGCGUGCGCAGGCGGUUUUGUAAGUCUGACGUGAAAUCCCCGGGCUCAACCUGGGAAUUGCGUUGGAGACUGCAAGGCUGGAGUCUGGCAGAGGGGGGUAGAAUUCCACGUGUAGCAGUGAAAUGCGUAGAGAUGUGGAGGAACACCGAUGGCGAAGGCAGCCCCCUGGGU